This 587-nucleotide ribosomal RNA is filed under the name uncultured haloarchaeon. Its description in RNAcentral is "bacterial SSU rRNA". It matches the Rfam family "Archaeal small subunit ribosomal RNA", at positions 335 to 921 of the family's 1478-position model. Lineage: Archaea; Methanobacteriati; Methanobacteriota; Halobacteria; Halobacteriales; Halobacteriaceae. The record is from RNAcentral.
GCAGGCGCGAAACCUUUACACUGCACGACAGUGCGAUAGGGGGAUCCCAAGUGCACAGGCAUAGCGCCUGUGCUUUUCGGUACCGUAAGGUGGUACCAGAAUAAGGGCUGGGCAAGACCGGUGCCAGCCGCCGCGGUAAUACCGGCAGCCCAAGUGAUGGCCGAUCUUAUUGGGCCUAAAGCGUCCGUAGCUGGCCGCGCAAGUCCAUCGGGAAAUCCACCUGYUYAACAGGUGGGCGCCCGGUAGAAACUGCGUGGCUUGGGACCGGAAGGCGCGACGGGUACGUCCGGGGUAGGAGUGAAAUCCCGUAAUCCUGGACGGACCGCCGAUGGCGAAAGCACGUCGCGAGAACGGAUCCGACAGUGAGGGACGAAAGCCAGGGUCUCGAACCGGAUUAGAUACCCGGGUAGUCCUGGCCGUAAACAAUGUCUGCUAGGUGUGGCUCCCACUACGAGUGGGUGCUGUGCCGUAGGGAAGCCGCUAAGCAGACCGCCUGGGAAGUACGUCCGCAAGGAUGAAACUUAAAGGAAUUGGCGGGGGAGCACUACAACCGGAGGAGCCUGCGGUUUAAUUGGAGUCAACGCCGG